RNAcentral lists this ribosomal RNA (870 nucleotides) under Triticum aestivum (bread wheat). RNAcentral's name for it is "partial small subunit ribosomal RNA". The record is from RNAcentral. Lineage: Eukaryota; Viridiplantae; Streptophyta; Magnoliopsida; Poales; Poaceae.
CUGGCCUUGUCGAGCAGCUCCUUCUCCUUGGCCUCUGCGGUGUCGCGCUCUUCGCCGGCGGCGGUGUCGCCCAGCUCAAAUCGGAAGACGAACACGGCGUGCGCGGCGAGGACGGAGGCGGCGUCUGUGAGGGCCGGCUCGCGCGCGGAGAAGAGCCAGUUGUGGAGGUCCCAGGAGACCUGGACCCGGUCGCCGCCGCCGAGGUCAACCUUCUCGCUGCCGCGGAACUUCCAGCGCAGGCGGCGGAUGUGGAGCACGCGCUCGCCGUCCACGGAGACCGACAGGCCGACCUCCGCCUUGUCCUUCUCCUUGUCCAUUUCCCUGUCCUUGCCGUGCCCGCGCGAGACGAGAUCCAGCGAGAUCUCCCGCUCCUUGCCGCGGACUUUGACGCAGGUCUUGUGCCCGCGGCCAUGGCCCCCGUCGCGCAUGGACACGUGCUCGCGCCGGGAGACGAGGACGUGGCCGGGGCCCGUCGGCCGCUGGGCCUUGGUCUUCCGGUACGCCUCCUCCGCCAUGUCCCCGGCCACGACCGCCAUCUCGCCGUCGACCACGACGGCGACGAAGUAGCCGGACGACGGCUCGGGCGAGCCGGGGGAGGCGAACCGCGCGCGGGUGAGGUCCCAGGCGAGGUCGAUCCGGCGGUCGUGCACAUGGAAGCGCUUGGACCCGCGGCGCCGCCAGAAGAGCCAGGGGCGGACGCGCACCGCGAUGGUGGCCUCCUCGUCGAACUCCGGGCCGUCGUCGUAGCAGCCGUAGUCGGAGGCCGAGGAGGAGGAGGCGAGCGCCCCGACGCGGAGCACGGCCCGGAGGCUGAGGCCGAACGCGGCGCGCGACCAGGAGAGCGCCGCCAGGCCGAGGCGGGUCUCGUAG